This 3127-nucleotide long non-coding RNA is filed under the name Sus scrofa (pig). RNAcentral's name for it is "lncRNA (ENSSSCG00030033116.1)". The record is from RNAcentral. Lineage: Eukaryota; Metazoa; Chordata; Mammalia; Artiodactyla; Suidae.
GCUGGGGAACCGUGGGCUUUGACAGGGCAGAUGGUGGGGGGAGUGUCUCAAGAGGGAAAUACAGAGAUUAAGAUGCUCCAUCCUUUCUGACUGUAAUCACCGACCACACACGUCCGCUCCGCUUCCUGCUGCUUUCAGUAGAAGGGACAGGCCACAGUGGCGUUUGCAGAGAAAAUGUCUGACGACAGUCGUUCGGUGUGGCACUGUUGGUGGUGAGGCGAGGGAGGAAGUCGAGGAGAAAACUGCACAGGAUCAGCGGAGAUCUUCCCAUAGGCCCACAGUAGGGCUGUUUACCCCCUGAAAGCACGAGAAAGUGGGAGACGGGCCCGGAACCCUGGAGGUUGGUGCGAAGGUGGGCAGCGCCUGGGUAUAACAAGAGAGGGUCUGCCUGCAGGUCUGAAAGGUUUGAGAUCACUGGACACAAAGAAACAAGGAGGAAAUUAUUCCCAAAUGAUAUAGACUGGAAGACCUGUAUUGCUAUGAAUUUCCCUCUGAGCACUGCUUCUGUGGCAUCCCAUAGAUUUUGAGUGGUUGUGUCUUCAUUAUCAUUCGUCUUGAGGUUUUGAUCCCAAGAGCAUUCCCUGAUAAAAGCCCUUCAUGCUGAACACUGUCUCUGAGUCUUCUCUCCAGGAAGCCAACCUACAACAGUUGGUACAAGAAGAGGUUCAGAAAAGCAUAUACAGGGAUGAAAUUUUGGAGAUGGAUAACCUGAUGCUUAGUGGCAGUGAGGACCCCAUCAUUCGUGGUAGGUGGAGUAGAUAGAUACCUGGAACAGGUGGCAGAGAAGUUGUUAGAGCUUUCACUGGUGGUGAACUGGAAUGGUACUGGUGGAAGGGAAUGCAUUUACUGAUGCCAUGAGGUGGAACUUGGAGAAAUAGGUGAGGAAUAUUAAAUAUAAGAAAGGCCAGAAAACUGGGUGGCUGUUUCUCAGCUUGACUGACCUCUAGGAAAAAAUAAUGAAAAGCUGAAUUAAAUUAAUCAGUAAUUUAAGCUAUGUGUGAAAGCCAGGGGGUUUCAUUCACAGCAUAUAAAGAGGCCCUCAUAUUUUCCAGGUGGAGAAAUUGAGGACCAGGUCCAGGACUUACUGAAAUAAGCUUCAAAGAAAGUUAAAAAUCCCAAUCAAGGCAAGUCUGUUCUGCCAAGAUCAGGGCCCUUGUUCCGAAGGAAGUUGACCUUGACACAUGAAAUGGGGACAUCUGGAUUUAUGUCCCUAAAAGUCUUAUCUAUUAAGAGUUCCCUGAGUCCCUUGAGCAUUCAAAAAUGCCCCACUCCUUCCUACUAAGGGUUAGUGCCUCACCUCACUUGGACACACAGAGCUCUUUCCCCUAAGAGAUAACAUGUUUCUUGAUCAAUCUGUCCCCACCUACCAUCCUAGCCACUGGGACCAUAUCUAUGAUUAAGCCACAGCAUAACUUCAUUGGCAUUGUGCUGAACCUAAUAAGAAAGGAAAAGGAAUACCCCAAGAAUGAGCUGCAGGGCCUUUCCAGCAUGUUCUAACAGGUGCUGAGGGGGUAAGCAUGGGACGGAAUUCUGAGUGCCUUCCUCAGGGGCACUAGAAUAUGACACUGAAUAAGGGAGAAUUAAUUGAUUUGAGAGUCUUCUCCCAAGAUACAGGAUUUAACACCCUGGAAAAGACCCCAGGAGAUCAUGUGAACUCACUACUAGAAUGGCUCCUCAAAGAAUGGAAAAAAAGACAAUGGCCCACAUUAAGUGAGGUAUGUGCACCAGAGUUGCCACAGCAGAUGGUGGGAGAAGGGAUUAAAAGCUCAGGAAAGUGGGAAUGAUAGAAUAACUAUAUUAUAAGGCCAGAAAACCUUCCAGAGGACUAUGUUCUUCAGGAGGACCUAAAGGGCACUCCAUUUGUUAAAGCUAUAAGAAUGCACUGGUUAAAGGAGGUACUAGCAUCACUAAUAAAUUCAGUGGUAGCCUGCCUCUGCAGACCAGUGCUCAGAGUAGAAGGGAACAUUACAGGACAAGGAUUGCUGACAGAAAUGAUCAUGCCACUGAAGUAAUAGAGUCAGUAUAACUGUAUUCAACUGUCAGAAGUCAGGUGAAUGCAAAUAUCAUAAUGCACCACACGGUAAGAGUAAUAUACAGGGAGAUCUGAUCUGCAGAGAGCUUUGGAGAGAGUUAGAACACAGUGCUCCUGGUGGAUAGAUGGUUAAGAGGUAAUAGAAUUGGGUGGUCAAUAUAACACUUGGCCCCAGGGAAAACAGGCAUCUGACAAUUCAUAUGAUAAUAAAUAAAAAAUCGGAGCUGCCCAGGAGUCUGAGGGAAGAUGCCUCAAUAAAAAGUCACACUCUCUUGCUCAGCUCUGGCCUUAAGUCAGUUUUUGAGGCAAGGCACACUAUUUGAAGUAGUGGGGCACCCGGGAAGCAGGACCUUACAAUAUGUGCAUAGUAACAAUUCCUCCAGUCCUUCCAUUUACUAAGGUAACUGUGUACUGGGGAGAGGGGAAUACCCAAACAUUUUGAGGAUUGAUGGACCCUGGUUGUGAGUUGAUAUUGAUACUCAGAGAUUUAAAUUGUAUUCAUCCCUGCCUUGUUAGAAUAGGAGCAGAUGGGAGCUUGGAAUUAAAUGGGCUCCUAGUCUAUGUUGGCUUUACACUGGGUAGACUCCACUGGGUCCAUAGAUCCAUCCAAUGGUUAUUUUCAUGGUUUCUGAAUGUAUAAUUGGAAUAGACAUAAUGAUAGUUGGUACAAGUCUCAUAUUGGUUCCUUGGCAUAUGAAGUCAGAGCUAUUUUAGAUGAGGUCAAGUGGAAAAGUUAUAAUUGUCUUCCCCUUCCUUAGCAAAGAAAGUAAAUGAAAACAUAUAGAUAGCAUCUGGAGAGGAUGGUAGAAGUUAGUGCCACAUUUAAAGACCUAAAGAAUUCUGUGAUGUCAGGAGUUCCCAUUGUGGCUCAGCAGGAACUAAUAUCCAUAAGGAUGCGGGUUUGAUCCCUGGCCUCGCUCAGUGCGUUAAGGCUCUAGUGUUGCUGUGAGCUGUGAUGUAGUUCGCAGACAUGGCUUGGAUCCUGCGUCGUUGUGGUUGUGGCUGUGGCGGGCGGCUGUGGCUCCAAUUUGACCCUUAGCUUGGAAACUUCCAUAUGCCACACCUGCGGCCCUAAAAAGCAAAAAAAAAAAAAAA